UACGAAGGGGGCUAGCGUUGUUCGGAAUUACUGGGCGUAAAGCGUUUGUAGGCGGUUGAACAAGUCAGUGGUGAAAGCCCAGGGCUUAACCCUGGAAUUGCCAUUGAAACUGUUCAGCUAGAGAGUGUUAGAGGAAAGUGGAAUUCCUAGUGUAGGAGUGAAAUCCGUAGAGAUUAGGAAGAACACCAGUGGCGAAGGCGGCUCACUGGUCCGGUACUGACGCUGAGGUGCGAAAGCGUGGGGAGCAAACGGG
This 253-nucleotide ribosomal RNA is filed under the name uncultured bacterium. RNAcentral's name for it is "partial 16S ribosomal RNA". It matches the Rfam family "Bacterial small subunit ribosomal RNA", at positions 524 to 776 of the family's 1533-position model. The record is from RNAcentral.